Molecule: ribosomal RNA, 256 nt
Filed under: uncultured bacterium
Lineage: Bacteria
Description: partial 16S ribosomal RNA
Rfam family: Bacterial small subunit ribosomal RNA
Source: RNAcentral
UACGAAAGGGAUUAGCGUCAUUCAUAUUGAAUGGGUGUAAAGGGUAUGUAGGCGGUAUCAUUAAUGUAAUACUAAAAAAGAUAAAAAUAAUCUUAUAAGUAAAAAUUUUCAAAAUGAUUACUAGAGUGAAAUAGAGGAAAGAGGAAUUUCAAAUGGAAGGAUGAAAUCUUUUGAUAUUUGAAGGAACUCUAAAAGCGAAGGCUUCUUUCCAAUUAAUCACUGACGCUAAGAUACGAAAGUGUGGGUAGCAAAAAGG